Molecule: ribosomal RNA, 1419 nt
Filed under: Microbacterium aurantiacum
Lineage: Bacteria; Bacillati; Actinomycetota; Actinomycetes; Micrococcales; Microbacteriaceae
Description: bacterial SSU rRNA
Rfam family: Bacterial small subunit ribosomal RNA
Source: RNAcentral
GCCCGGCUGCUACCUGCAAGUCGAACGGUGAAGCCAAGCUUGCUUGGUGGAUCAGUGGCGAACGGGUGAGUAACACGUGAGCAACCUGCCCUGAACUCUGGGAUAAGCGCUGGAAACGGCGUCUAAUACUGGAUAUGAGCUGCGGAGGCAUCUUCGUGGUUGGAAAGAUUUUUCGGUUUGGGAUGGGCUCGCGGCCUAUCAGCUUGUUGGUGAGGUAAUGGCUCACCAAGGCGUCGACGGGUAGCCGGCCUGAGAGGGUGACCGGCCACACUGGGACUGAGACACGGCCCAGACUCCUACGGGAGGCAGCAGUGGGGAAUAUUGCACAAUGGGCGGAAGCCUGAUGCAGCAACGCCGCGUGAGGGAUGACGGCCUUCGGGUUGUAAACCUCUUUUAGCAGGGAAGAAGCGAAAGUGACGGUACCUGCAGAAAAAGCGCCGGCUAACUACGUGCCAGCAGCCGCGGUAAUACGUAGGGCGCAAGCGUUAUCCGGAAUUAUUGGGCGUAAAGAGCUCGUAGGCGGUUUGUCGCGUCUGCUGUGAAAACCCGAGGCUCAACCUCGGGCCUGCAGUGGGUACGGGCAGACUAGAGUGCGGUAGGGGAGAUUGGAAUUCCUGGUGUAGCGGUGGAAUGCGCAGAUAUCAGGAGGAACACCGAUGGCGAAGGCAGAUCUCUGGGCCGUAACUGACGCUGAGGAGCGAAAGGGUGGGGAGCAAACAGGCUUAGAUACCCUGGUAGUCCACCCCGUAAACGUUGGGAACUAGUUGUGGGGUCCAUUCCACGGAUUCCGUGACGCAGCUAACGCAUUAAGUUCCCCGCCUGGGGAGUACGGCCGCAAGGCUAAAACUCAAAGGAAUUGACGGGGACCCGCACAAGCGGCGGAGCAUGCGGAUUAAUUCGAUGCAACGCGAAGAACCUUACCAAGGCUUGACAUACACGAGAACGCUGCAGAAAUGUAGAACUCUUUGGACACUCGUGAACAGGUGGUGCAUGGUUGUCGUCAGCUCGUGUCGUGAGAUGUUGGGUUAAGUCCCGCAACGAGCGCAACCCUCGUUCUAUGUUGCCAGCACGUAAUGGUGGGAACUCAUGGGAUACUGCCGGGGUCAACUCGGAGGAAGGUGGGGAUGACGUCAAAUCAUCAUGCCCCUUAUGUCUUGGGCUUCACGCAUGCUACAAUGGCCGGUACAAAGGGCUGCAAUACCGCGAGGUGGAGCGAAUCCCAAAAAGCCGGUCCCAGUUCGGAUUGAGGUCUGCAACUCGACCUCAUGAAGUCGGAGUCGCUAGUAAUCGCAGAUCAGCAACGCUGCGGUGAAUACGUUCCCGGGUCUUGUACACACCGCCCGUCAAGUCAUGAAAGUCGGUAACACCUGAAGCCGGUGGCCCAACCCUUGUGGAGGAGCCGUCGAAGGGUAUUUCCGU